Molecule: ribosomal RNA, 99 nt
Filed under: Carassius auratus (goldfish)
Lineage: Eukaryota; Metazoa; Chordata; Actinopteri; Cypriniformes; Cyprinidae
Source: RNAcentral
GCUAUGCCCGAUCUCGUCUGAUCUCGGAAGCUAAGCAGGUUUGGGCCUGGUUAGUACUUCGAUGGGAGACUGCCUGGGAAUACCAGGUGCUGUAAGCUU